UACGGAGGGUGCAAGCGUUGUCCGGAAUCAUUGGGCGUAAAGAGUUCGUAGGUGGUAUGUUAAGUCUGGUGUUAAAGCCCGAAGCUCAACUUCGGUUCGGCACUGGAUACUGGCAAACUUGAAUGUGGUAGAGGUAAAGGGAAUUCCUGGUGUAGCGGUGAAAUGCGUAGAUAUCAGGAGGAACAUCGUUGGCGAAAGCGCUUUACUGGGCCAUUAUUGACACUGAGGAACGAAAGCCGGGGUAGCAAAUGGG
This 253-nucleotide ribosomal RNA is filed under the name uncultured bacterium. RNAcentral's name for it is "partial 16S ribosomal RNA". It matches the Rfam family "Bacterial small subunit ribosomal RNA", at positions 524 to 776 of the family's 1533-position model. The record is from RNAcentral.